GAUGAACGCUAGCGGCAGGCUUAAUACAUGCAAGUCGAGGGGCAGCAGGAAUAGCAAUAUUUGCUGGCGACCGGCGCACGGGUGCGUAACACGUAUACAAUCUGCCUUUAACAGGGGGAUAGCCCGGAGAAAUCCGGAUUAAUACCCCAUAAUACAUGAAGCGGCAUCGCUUUAUGUUGAAAGCUCCGGCGGUUAAAGAUGAGUAUGCGUCUGAUUAGCUAGUUGGUGAGGUAACGGCUCACCAAGGCGACGAUCAGUAGGGGAUCUGAGAGGAUUAACCCCCACACGGAUACUGAGACACGGAUCCGGCUCCUACGGGAGGCAGCAGUAAGGAAUAUUGGACAAUGCCCGCAAGGGUGAUCCAGCCAUGCCGCGUGCAGGAAGACGGCCCUAUGGGUUGUAAACUGCUUUUACACCGGAGAAAACCUCCCCUCGUGAGGGGAGCUGAUAGUAUGGUGAGAAUAAGCAUCGGCUAACUUCGUGCCAGCCGCCGCCGUAACAC
This 502-nucleotide ribosomal RNA is filed under the name uncultured bacterium. RNAcentral describes it as "bacterial SSU rRNA". It matches the Rfam family "Bacterial small subunit ribosomal RNA", at positions 28 to 526 of the family's 1533-position model. The record is from RNAcentral.